UGGAGAGUUUGAUCCUGGCUCAGAACGAACGCUGGCGGCAUGCCUAACACAUGCAAGUCGAACGAGGGCUUCGGCCCUAGUGGCGCACGGGUGAGUAACACGUGGGAACCUGCCUUAUGGUUCGGGAUAACGUCUGGAAACGGACGCUAACACCGGAUGUGCCCUUCGGGGGAAAGUUUACGCCAUGAGAGGGGCCCGCGUCCGAUUAGGUAGUUGGUGGGGUAAUGGCCCACCAAGCCGACGAUCGGUAGCUGGUCUGAGAGGAUGAUCAGCCACACUGGGACUGAGACACGGCCCAGACUCCUACGGGAGGCAGCAGUGGGGAAUAUUGGACAAUGGGGGCAACCCUGAUCCAGCAAUGCCGCGUGAGUGAUGAAGGCCUUAGGGUUGUAAAGCUCUUUCGCACGCGACGAUGAUGACGGUAGCGUGAGAAGAAGCCCCGGCUAACUUCGUGCCAGCAGCCGCGGUA
Molecule: ribosomal RNA, 469 nt
Filed under: Azospirillum sp. 12811
Lineage: Bacteria; Pseudomonadati; Pseudomonadota; Alphaproteobacteria; Rhodospirillales; Azospirillaceae
Description: bacterial SSU rRNA
Rfam family: Bacterial small subunit ribosomal RNA
Source: RNAcentral